This 119-nucleotide small RNA is filed under the name Epilithonimonas arachidiradicis. RNAcentral describes it as "Chryseobacterium arachidiradicis Flavo-1 RNA". Lineage: Bacteria; Pseudomonadati; Bacteroidota; Flavobacteriia; Flavobacteriales; Weeksellaceae. The record is from RNAcentral.
AGCGCGCCCCGACUUGAACGGAGCUCUUUUUUUGUCAUUGCGAUUGUAGAAAGGUUCUACAGAUUGUUUCACGUUGUUCGCAAUGACAGAAAAAGCGGGAGUGGAAGGCGGAUAAAGGC